GAGCAGGCUGUGUCCUACACUGAGCCUGACGUGUCGUAUGCAGUGACGUGGAAUAAAAAUACCUCCUGUGUGAAAUCUGCUGCAGUUACGCGGUCAUUAAUCAAAUAUGUUUUACGGUGCCAAACGUGUCUAAAUAAUUACGAAAGAUCGGGACUGGCAGAGGAUCGGUGCAUCAGUUCACUGGCUUAUGUGAACAAAUUACCAGAGAGAAAUCUCACCCUCUGCAGUCAAACCCACAAGUAUUGAGAAAAGCAAGACCCGUAUUUCAACAUUUCAGAAAAGUCAAGGUACAUCAGCAGCCCUAAGAUUCUCCCAACACUUUUGACCUUUAACUGUACAGACGUGCUUCAAACCUGCAUUUCUUCUCUAGUUUUUUCCUCUCUUCUUCUGUUGUUUUUCUCAGGUUGUUCUGUCUAUGCAGUCAUAGUUUGUAAAUGGAUGAUAUAAAGAUGAAUUCUAUGUUUUCUACAAGGAUGUUUGCAUGUUACUAUUAUGUGAAAGUGAACUAUUAUGUAAAUAAAGUGCCUAAUGUUCCUGUU
This is a long non-coding RNA of Acanthochromis polyacanthus (spiny chromis), 539 nucleotides long. RefSeq lists it as uncharacterized. The record is from RefSeq and is a predicted model, not a curated record. Lineage: Eukaryota; Metazoa; Chordata; Actinopteri; Pomacentridae. The transcript is spliced from 2 exons.